This 367-nucleotide long non-coding RNA is filed under the name Vigna radiata. Its description in RNAcentral is "long non-coding RNA (VRAD_LNC008210)". The record is from RNAcentral. Lineage: Eukaryota; Viridiplantae; Streptophyta; Magnoliopsida; Fabales; Fabaceae.
AAAUUGCCAUUCAUCUCACACAAUCAACAUCUUUACAUGCCAAUGCCAUCAAAAGGACUUUUUCAAGGCUUGUAAUGAGGUUGGGCUAACAAGAAAAAUUGGUUUUUCUGGAAAACAAAAUUCUUGAGUUAAGAGAGCUAUCAUAAAAUUCAACAUUUAAGCACAAAUCACUUCCUCACCAAUCUCUCUCAUUCCCUACUUUUCCUCUUUUUCUUUUCCAUUGAGCUCAUCUUCAUGCUUUUUCUUAUUUUUUUUCUUUUUCUCAUGCAUUUUUCUUUUUCAACAAUUGAGCUCAAUGCUUCUUAAUAGCUUUCCAAUUUCCCCCAUGCAACCCCAAACUUGAACCUUUUCAUCACAUACAGUUAAG